Molecule: ribosomal RNA, 196 nt
Filed under: uncultured Pseudomonadota bacterium
Lineage: Bacteria; Pseudomonadati; Pseudomonadota
Description: uncultured proteobacterium partial 16S ribosomal RNA
Rfam family: Bacterial small subunit ribosomal RNA
Source: RNAcentral
ACUCCUACGGGAGGCAGCAGUGGGGAAUAUUGGACAAUGGGGGAAACCCUGAUCCAGCCACGCCGCGUGAGUGAUGAAGGCCUUCGGGUCGUAAAGCUCUGUGGGGAGGGACGAACCGCUGCUGGUGCAUAGCCAGCAGCAUGACGGUACCUCCUUAGCAAGCACCGGCUAACUUCGUGCCAGCAGCCGCGGUAAU